This 6038-nucleotide long non-coding RNA is filed under the name Sus scrofa (pig). RNAcentral's name for it is "lncRNA (ENSSSCG00000059536.1)". Lineage: Eukaryota; Metazoa; Chordata; Mammalia; Artiodactyla; Suidae. The record is from RNAcentral.
AAAUAUGGAAAAUGAUUGCAGGAAUAAUUAAAGAAGAAUCUCUGACUAGGUACAAAAAGAUUCUCCAGGCAAGAUUUUACUUUGCAUGUGCUGAACUGCACAGCCCAGAAGGGGCCAAUGUUUUCUCUGAAACUUCGUGAGGGCAACUGCUGACCCCCAUGUGAAAGGGUCUGGUUGCUACCCACAGCGUCACCCCCAACUGACCCCAGAUUAGGAGCAUGAGCCAGUGCACCGGCACCCUAAUAUGCAAAGUGAUUUGGUAAGAACGAGAGUUAUAAACUGGAGGGGUUCCACAGUCGUAAGAACUGCAUCCAUAUUUAGCGAUAAAACAAGCAGACAUUCUGAACUUGGGAUUUUCAGCCCAUCCUAUGAAAAGAAUGGAAGUCCCAAUGAAUGCAGAUAAUGAUAAUGCAGAGCAACCAGCAUUGGUUCAAAACUUCCUUUGUGCCAAAUACAUGCUAAAUUCUUUACAGGCACAAUAUUAUGUAGUUAUUAUAAACUAUCUAUUUUACAGUAAAGAAAACUUAGGCUCAGAGGGGUAAGGUAAUACUCAGCAAGAGUCAAAUUUAGGGAUCAAACCUAGGUAUACUUGACUCUCAAGUCCAGCUUUUUAAAUUAAAUUUUGCUGGAGUAUAGUUGACUUUCAACACUGUGUUAGUUUCAGGUGUAGAGCAAUGUGGAUCAGCUAUACAUACAGCCAUUCCUUCUCAAAUUCUUUUCCCAUGCCCAUGUCUGGCGUUAACACUGUGCUACAUGCUAACUUCCAGUGAGUCAGGGUGGUGAUGCAAGAAAGACAGAAACUGACAUUCCCUCAUUCAUCCUUCAAUUACCUGCACGUCUCCCAAGCGCUAAGAACACAGCAGUGAAGACCACAGUCAGGAGCCUUGAUCCCAGACAACUAAAGAACCAGUCCAGAAUGAGACUCUAGGGGUCAGCUGGCGUCUUUGAGGAUAAAGUCCACAAGGACAAAGCAGAAACAAGAGCUUUGUGUUUGUUCAAGAAAUUGUGAUUCCCUUAACUAAGCCCAGUGCAAAGCAUAGUUUAAUCAUGUGCUGAGUUCUCUUUUAAAAGUCAAAAUUAAACCUUGCUUCCCCUUACAGAUAGAAAGGGCUCGCUCUCCCCACCAAAGACCCCUUGAUGGCAAAUUCCAAAGAUUCUACAUAAAGACUUGCCAUUCUCUACCUAAGUCUAGAAAAAAGUUUUAAUGCUUCCUUAAGAAUAUGAAGUCCUUGGAUACCAGACUGCCAGUCACACAGAAAUGAAGAGAGGCAUCGAAAUACGGGACAAUAAUAAAGAAAAGAAGAUGCGGAAGCAGUUGUCUGAGGAAGCAGCUGCCGCCUGCACAUGAAAGAGUCUCAUACAUCAUGAAGAACAUGGGAGAGCAAGAAAAUCCCCUGGAUUAGGACACAAAAGCCUGUAUUUCACGUCUCAGCUUUAUCACUUACUGGUUGUGACCCUGGGCAAGCAAAUUAACCCUCCCCGUAUACCCAUUUCCUCUCGUAUUAAAUGAGAAUAAUAGCUUCCCUGCCUACAUUACAGAAAUGCAAUAAAUAAAACUAUACAUAUGCAAUGGCCCUGUCAACUGUCAAGGUUACCCAUUACACGAGGUAUCCAAUCUCAUUCAUCUCUGUUAGAGGCAAAAUAUUUGGCUGGAAACAUAGGUGCUUAGUAGCGAACACAUCGCCACACCCCCAUCCAAAGGCCACCGUCACCAAGGGCCACCAGCAGAAGCAGGCCCCCGGGGCAGAGCCUGACCUCGGGGGUGUCUCCACAAGAGGGCACUAGAGCGUCCUCCUUUGCAGCUUCCAUCUUCGGUCUUCUGCUUCCAGACACAGAACCAAGCAGUUGAUUUAUUUAGAGUCAUGAACUCUCAGAUCUCACACAGGAGCCGUUUCUCAGGUAUGCUGUGGACCACGCCCCUCCCCCCGCCUAGAAUGCACAUGGGGACUUUCCACUCUGAUAGAGGGAAGGGCUCCGUGACGUCCAACAGCUACGGGGUCGUGUGUCUCCCUCCUCAUCUAUGCCACGUCAACAAGCCCAGUCUAGCUAUUAAUAAAAGCAGACUAGCAAAAACGCGGAGGAAAACGCUGACUGCCAUCUAUUCGAGUUUUCAAUACAUGUAUUGUGAUAAAUGAUACGUUCAUGCAGCUAAGGGCAGAGGCUUAACUGCUACUGUAUCUGAUUUGGAAAGUAUCAGAACACCACGGUCCUUCACAGUGACGUUCGCCUUCUUCCCAGUGUAAGUUCAAGACGCCUCUAACAGCAUCCGAAAGGCGCGAUCUCACCUAUGCGGCAGUGGCUCAUCGUGUGGGCUCUGGAUCAAACUCCCCAGAGUCCUGUGUACAUCAGACCAUGUGACCUUGAACAAGUAUCUGUGUGACUUUGGACAAGUCACUUAACUUCUUCACUCUCCGUUGCUUUCUGUGUAAAAUAAAGAUAACAGUAGUAGAUUGUCUACUUUUUACUGCAGUUGUGAGAAUGAAAUAAGAUAAUCCAGAUAAACUACAUAACAGGGCCUGACAUCACAAUACAUGUUCGGGAAAUGUGAGCAGCUGCUUACCAUGACUACAGCUGAGACAUACGUGUGGUCUUACAUUUUCCAAACAGGUAAAUGAUCUAAAAGAACUAGUUCCCCCUAAAUCCAUUUCAAUGCUGAGCACAGACUCAGUGAGCACCUGAGGGCAACUUUUUGAAAAGCAUGGCCUCCAAAACAUACCAGCAACCACACAUUAGGUAUAAGAGUGACCAGUCCACACAGAAACCAAACCACAGCAAGGCAGACAGCCAAGGUAAAGCAAGGUCUGGAGAGUGGUUUGCGGCCAAGGACUGAGUUCCCAGCAGCCCUCACAUUAGUGCAGAAAAGACCUGGCAGAGAGGACGGAAGGCCAAGGAAAAGCCUGGGCUGCUGACCACAGGGCAGGCCACUCUCAGGACCAACAAGCGUCAGAAGGAGAAAACAGGGUCAUGGGGGCCAUUCCCACUAGGGUACCAGAUGGAAUACUGAAGAGCCAACAAAGAACCGACCCGAACACCGGGAAGGUCACGAAAGACCAAAAAGACUUGCUAAAGGGUUAAAGAAAUCAUAAGGACCUUACUGAAUGCCCAAGUAUGAAAAAGAUGCUGCAGAAGGAAAGGCACAUCUUUGGCUGGUACCACAGCCCACAUCUCCUCCUGUCCAGACGUCCUGUCCUCAACGGUCCGGUUCUCUUACAGCUCUUGCUUUGAAAACACACAUUUGUUCCCACGUGACUGACUGCAUCAGGAAACACCGAAGCAUAAGCAAUCUUGCCUUUGCUCAUGUGUGAUGUCACCUUUGGGAAAGACAAGGUAACAGAGAACAGCACCCCACUGAACCAAGGCAGGAAGGAAUGCAAAAAGCCCUGCAGAGCACACACUGCAAGACCCACCAGCUCCUGCAUUGUGAGCCACGCUAUGCACAUCCAGUGUCACAAUGUUCCCUCCCACUUCAGAUGGCCCUCCAGGCGCCACUUCACCAUGAGGCACAAGCUACCACCCUCCCGACACCAACUCCCGCAGGUAACUUUUAGGUCCUUUCCAAUGAAAUGUGCCGCGUUUGUUGUGGUGUUUAUGUGUGUCUUUACCUUUUACCAUAUGUAAAAGGGUGCUAUCAUGUUUAUUAGGUUUCUCUUUCCUUAUCAGUAAGUCUCCUAGGAAGCUUCUGACUGCUUUGCCCCGACCUCUGGUUUCCCAUAAGCCCCGUGGUUUUUCACUGUGUGAUGAUGCAACAGUGAUUUUUAAUAUGUGUCUGUAACAUUACAGCAGACCUGACUCUAACCGGCAGUCACCACAGACACACUCUGGUGUUUCACACACUGGCUAGAGGCCCCUCCCCACAUCUCAGCCUCAGUUCACUCUUUCCUUCUCUUGUUCAAUCCUACCUUCCCUUAGGGUUUACUGAUCCAGAGAGCUUUCCAGGGCUGGCCAGCCCGUCUGCCAAAGUGCUCUUUCUCUGAGCUUGUACGGCACUUCCCAUCCGCGCUGUUGUCAUUACACUGACCGUGAGGGACAGAUGCUCCACCGCUGGUUUCAACCUCCAAAGCAUGUACCUGUUCCGUGUGGGGGCGUCUUCUGCAUGGCACAGCACAGGCACGUGAGAAACGACUACAGACGAGAAUGGAACAAAACAAAGCACCUUCCAGUUUACCAUUCCAUGUGAUACCGCACGACUCAGCAACCAUGUCCAUACAGAAUCUCAGGAAGGAAAGAAAAAGGAGAGGAAGCCAGGAUCAUGCAGAACAAGCUGAGUGUGUUCGAAGUGUCCCGGCCGGUAAAAAGGGUGUAAAACUGAGGGGACUCCGUAGGAAAAGUCCAACCGGAGGGACACGGAAGAGUAUUCCACCUACAUGGUGGGGGAAAGUAUCUGACAACAGUUGGAAAAUGUUUUUUUAAUCAAAUGUGAGCCUCAUAUAUGGAGAAUGGGACUGCUAGGCACCUCCAGUGACCUCUGGCCAGAAUAUUCACAAUAGAUGAUACUUAAUGUUUUCCCUUGCUAAGCAUCCCUUUAUCUUUUAAGUAAGAUUUCCAUAUACGCUGCGGGGAAGGCAUUUCAGUGAAAGCUUACUAACUUUGAUAUGAGCUAUGGGGAGUCAACCAAGGGCCAUAUUCCCCGGUCUUCCCUGAAUGGAGGCUGAAAUGAGACCCGAUAAAAAGUUCCUUUUAGUUUAGGAACGAAACAGACUGAUGUUAAAAGCUUCUUCAUGGAUUAUGAAUUCACAUAUACAGCAAAGUACUCAGAAAGGAGCCUCACCAAUGACGUGAAAGAACUUGGGUGGAGACGAGAGCUUGGUCAAAGUGCACCAAGUGAAGACUGCCCCUUACGUCGUUUCUAAGGCUGUCCACUGCGUGCAGGGCAACAGCUGUCCCUGAACCCAAGAUGCACUAAUUGCCAAAUGCAAACAACAAUAAGAAAAUGCAGAAGCUGAAUUAAGUGAACUUCAAGCCUUUCAUUUUAUUAGUAAAUAAAAGAAAAAUUAUCCACCAAAUGGUAAGAAAUUAAACAAGAAAAACCAGAAGGACAAAAAGCAUCGCAAAGCCGUGUUAUAAACAAAGGGAGACCCUCCAUGCAGAAAACAUGGUAAGUUCAAGCCAAGAGAAAAAGGCACUCCAAAGAGGUAACAGGGUAAGUACCUAAAUAACAUGAAGGAAAGUGCAAACAAACCCAGACUCUAACGCACAAGCUUGAUCUGUAAAACCCAUUUUAUAAGAUGAGACAAUUAAAAAGGCUGCCGCAGGCUACCAUUGGACUAGGAAACCUUAAGAGUGAUUUAAAUUAACUUAUAUGAUGACUGUGAUAAAAAUGAGGUAAGUCAGAGGGGACCAAAAUGCUCCCUUGACUAUGGAGCAGGGAGGGUAAAGCAGGUGACAAGUUGCAUGACACAGGGCAUAAAGAAACUGCUGUCAGAAUCGGACUGCUUUAAAUUUAUACGGCAAUUUUCAAAGGCUAUGCAGAUCUUUAUCAAAAACUGAUCAGUUCCUAUUUCCACCUGUUCUUCUCUGAAGUUAUACUCUACCGUUCAGUGUGGUCCAUGUUUAAUGAUUUCAAACAGUGUUUGAAUACUUUUCCCGUGCUAGGUACUGUUUUAAGUAUUUUAUGUAUAUAAACUUACUAAUGUUUACAGAAAGUGAAUCUCCCCAUUUUACACAUGAGGAAACCAAGGCACAGAGACAUUAACUGACGCGGCAAGGUUACGCACAGCCAGAAUUUGAACCCCCCAGUCCAGGCUGAAGGGUUUGGGAUUAACAUGUACACAUGACUACAUAUAAGACAGGUAAACAACAAGGUCCUACUGCAUGGCACGGGGACCUCAACUUAACAUCGGCAAAUAACAUACAAUGAACAAGAACCUAAAAAGAAUGCGUGUAACUGAAUCACCCUGAUGUACACCGACUAUACCAAGUGAUAAACACACAAAGGGACAUACGUUACAUUUAAAUGUAACCUCCUUCGAAAAAAUUAUACCAAAGAACUGAUUGGAGAAGUGAUAUCCAAGACCAGCAGACUCCUGCUUUUGGAUGUG